This 76-nucleotide transfer RNA is filed under the name Flavobacteriaceae bacterium. RNAcentral describes it as "tRNA-Lys". It matches the Rfam family "tRNA". Rfam says of the family: Transfer RNA (tRNA) molecules are approximately 80 nucleotides in length. Their secondary structure includes four short double-helical elements and three loops (D, anti-codon, and T loops). Further hydrogen bonds mediate the characteristic L-shaped molecular structure. tRNAs have two regions of fundamental functional importance: the anti-codon, which is responsible for specific mRNA codon recognition, and the 3' end, to which the tRNAs corresponding amino acid is attached (by aminoacyl-tRNA synthetases). tRNAs cope with the degeneracy of the genetic code in two manners: having more than one tRNA (with a specific anti-codon) for a particular amino acid; and 'wobble' base-pairing, i.e. permitting non-standard base-pairing at the 3rd anti-codon position. The record is from RNAcentral. Lineage: Bacteria; Pseudomonadati; Bacteroidota; Flavobacteriia; Flavobacteriales; Flavobacteriaceae.
GUCUUAGUAGCUCAGUUGGCAGAGCGCAUGACUUUUAAUCAUGUGGUCGGGGGUUCAAGUCCCUCCUAAGACACAA